GUGCUUCCUUUGGCAGCACAUAUGUAAAAGUUGGAAUGAUGCAGAGAAGUUUAGCAUGGCCCUUGUGCAAAGAUGAUGUACAGAUUCCUGGAUUGUUCCAUAUUAAC
Molecule: small nuclear RNA, 107 nt
Organism: Mustela putorius furo (domestic ferret)
Lineage: Eukaryota; Metazoa; Chordata; Mammalia; Carnivora; Mustelidae
Source: Ensembl